UACGGAGGAGGCAAGCGUUAUCCGGAAUUAUUGGGCGUAAAGCGUCCGUAGGUGGCUAGUCAAGUCUGCGGUCAAAGACUGGGGCUUAACCCUGGAAUGGCCGUGGAAACUGACGAGCUAGAGUGCAGUAGGGGUAGAGGGAAUUCCCGGUGUAGCGGUGAAAUGCGUAGAGCUCGGGAAGAACAUCGGUGGCGAAAGCGCUCUACUGGACUGCAACUGACACUCAGGGACGAAAGCUAGGGGAGCGAAUGGG
Molecule: ribosomal RNA, 253 nt
Filed under: uncultured bacterium
Lineage: Bacteria
Description: partial 16S ribosomal RNA
Rfam family: Bacterial small subunit ribosomal RNA
Source: RNAcentral